UACGGAGGGUGCAAGCGUUAUCCGGAUUCACUGGGUUUAAAGGGUGCGUAGGCGGGCAGGUAAGUCCGUGGUGAAAUCUCUGAGCUUAACUCAGAAACUGCCAUGGAUACUAUUUGUCUUGAAUAUUGUGGAGGUAAGCGGAAUAUGUCAUGUAGCAGUGAAAUGCUUAGAUAUGACAUAGAACACCAAUUGCGAAGGCAGCUUACUACACAGUAAUUGACGCUGAGGCACGAAAGCGUGGGGAUCAAACAGG
RNAcentral lists this ribosomal RNA (253 nucleotides) under uncultured bacterium. RNAcentral's name for it is "partial 16S ribosomal RNA". It matches the Rfam family "Bacterial small subunit ribosomal RNA", at positions 524 to 776 of the family's 1533-position model. The record is from RNAcentral.